AAAUGUAGUUGUCUUUUAAUGAGUUUUAACUGCUACUUUUAUUUUGCCUCUAGCUGCCUUGAACAUUCUAGGAGUAGAAAGAUAUGCCUGAACCACAAGUUCCAGUCAGGAAGAAUAAUGGAGAAGGACAUUAAAAACCAUAGUUCAGCAAUAUCUGAAGUGGCACAGAUACCCCAUCGCUGGUGUAUACUAACCAACAGUGGAUGUUUCAGGAGGACUAUAUUAUCAUCUUACUCUACUUCCAUUCAACGUCUUGUUGGCUCCUGUACUUACAAGAGCUGAUCUGCAUCAAAUUUGGAGUUGAAAGCAGAUCAAAAUUCAAGUCAAAGUAUUUUU
Protobothrops mucrosquamatus (brown spotted pit viper) is the source of this 336-nucleotide long non-coding RNA. RefSeq lists it as uncharacterized. Lineage: Eukaryota; Metazoa; Chordata; Lepidosauria; Squamata; Viperidae. The transcript has 3 exons. The record is from RefSeq and is a predicted model, not a curated record.